UACGGGGGAUGCAAGCGUUGUCCGGAAUCAUUGGGCGUAAAGAGUUCGUAGGCGGUUUGUUAAGUUUGGUGUUAAAUUCCGAGGCUCAACUUCGGUACGGCACUGGAUACUGGCAGACUUGAAUGUGGUAGAGGUAAAGGGAAUUCCUGGUGUAGCGGUGAAAUGCGUAGAUAUCGGGAGGAACAUCGGUGGCGAAAGCGCUUUACUGGGCCAUAAUUGACGCUGAGGAACGAAAGCCGGGGUAGCAAAU
This 250-nucleotide ribosomal RNA is filed under the name uncultured prokaryote. RNAcentral describes it as "partial 16S ribosomal RNA". It matches the Rfam family "Bacterial small subunit ribosomal RNA", at positions 524 to 773 of the family's 1533-position model. The record is from RNAcentral.